AUGUUUCUGACCACCCUCUUCAUCCGUACUCACAUACCUGCUAGACAGUGGAUCGGGAUGCACUGGUGGCUGCUGCCCCUCAUUGCACACCAAGCAGAACAUGAUCUAUUGCCUACAGAUCAGGGUGGAAAAUCACUACUGGCUGUAAAUACCCUAUUGACCUUGGAGCAGCAGCAUGGCCAUGCUGCUGCAGUGUGCAGGGCAGAGGCCAUGGAGCCCAUGAAGGUGGCCAAUACUUCCAAGGUCCCCCAACAUAGAUCUGUUGUAGACAAGAUUGACCAUCUCAAUGUCAUCCAGAAAUGGUCCUAA
RNAcentral lists this long non-coding RNA (309 nucleotides) under Homo sapiens (human). RNAcentral describes it as "non-protein coding lnc-CCNG1-4:1". The record is from RNAcentral. Lineage: Eukaryota; Metazoa; Chordata; Mammalia; Primates; Hominidae.